This 470-nucleotide ribosomal RNA is filed under the name uncultured Desulfocapsa sp. RNAcentral describes it as "bacterial SSU rRNA". It matches the Rfam family "Bacterial small subunit ribosomal RNA", at positions 918 to 1380 of the family's 1533-position model. Lineage: Bacteria; Pseudomonadati; Thermodesulfobacteriota; Desulfobulbia; Desulfobulbales; Desulfocapsaceae. The record is from RNAcentral.
UGACGGGCCGCACAAGCGGUGAGUAUGUGGUUUAAUCGACGCAACGCGCAGAACCUUACCUGGUCUUGACAUCCCGAGAAUUUUCUGGAAACAGAGAAGUGCCUCGCAAGAGGAAUUUCGGAGACAGGUGCUGCAUGGCUGUCGUCAGCUCGUGUCGUGAGAUGUUGGGUUAAGUCCCGCAACGAGCGCAACCCUUGUCUUUAGUUGCCAUCAUUAAGUUGGGCACUCUAAAGAGACUGCCGGUGUCAAACCGGAGGAAGGUGGGGAUGACGUCAAGUCCUCAUGGCCUUUAUGACCAGGGCUACACACGUACUACAAUGGCAGGUACAAAGGGCAGCCACUUAGCGAUAAGGCGCGAAUCCCGUAAAACCUGUCUCAGUUCGGAUUGUAGGCUGCAACUCGCCUACAUGAAGUCGGAAUCGCUAGUAAUCGCGGAUCAGCACGCCGCGGUGAAUACGUUCCCGGGCCUU